RNAcentral lists this ribosomal RNA (301 nucleotides) under uncultured bacterium. RNAcentral describes it as "partial 16S ribosomal RNA". It matches the Rfam family "Bacterial small subunit ribosomal RNA", at positions 509 to 807 of the family's 1533-position model. The record is from RNAcentral.
CAGCAGCCACGGUAAUACGAAGGGGGCUAGCGUUGCUCGGAAUGACUGGGCGUAAAGGGCGCGUAGGCGGUUUGUACAGUUGGGUGUGAAAUUCCUGGGCUUAACCUGGGGACUGCGCUUAAUACAGGCAGUCUAGAGUGAGGAAGAGGGUUGUGGAAUUCCCAGUGUAGAGGUGAAACUCGAAGAUAUUGGGAAGAACACCGGUGGCGAAGGCGGCAACCUGGUCCUUGACUGACGCUGAGGCGCGAAAGCGUGGGGAGCAAACAGGAUUAGAUACCCGCGUAGUCCCUGUCUCUUAUAC